RNAcentral lists this ribosomal RNA (492 nucleotides) under uncultured bacterium. Its description in RNAcentral is "partial 16S ribosomal RNA". It matches the Rfam family "Bacterial small subunit ribosomal RNA", at positions 29 to 507 of the family's 1533-position model. The record is from RNAcentral.
AGUGAACGCUGGCGGUAGGCCUAACACAUGCAAGUCGAACGGCAGCACAGUAAGAGCUUGCUCUUACGGGUGGCGAGUGGCGGACGGGUGAGGAAUACAUCGGAAUCUACUUUUUCGUGGGGGAUAACGUAGGGAAACUUACGCUAAUACCGCAUACGACCUACGGGUGAAAGCAGUGGAUCUUCGGACCUUGCGCGAUUGAAUGAGCCGAUGUCGGAUUAGCUAGUUGGCGGGGUAAAGGCCCACCAAGGCGACGAUCCGUAGCUGGUCUGAGAGGAUGAUCGGCCACACUGGAACUGAGACACGGUCCAGACUCCUACGGGAGGCAGCAGUGGGGAAUAUUGGACAAUGGGCGCAAGCCUGAUCCAGCCAUACCGCGUGGGUGAAGAAGGCCUUCGGGUUGUAAAGCCCUUUUGUUGGGAAAGAAAAGCAGCAGGUUAAUCCCCCGCUGUUCUGACGGUACCCAAAGAAUAAGCACCGGCUAACUUCGUG